AGAGCCACUGAGUUUGAGACUGUAAGAGCAGGCCGGGGCUCUGAAGACCCCCCUCGCCCAACCCCCUCAUUUUACAGAAGAGGCAACUGAGGCCCAGAGGGGGAGAACCCAGAGUGACAAUGCCAAUUAGGGCUGGGACUGGCACCCAGGUCUCCAGCCACCACAGUGCCCUGCCUCUGCCAGAAUCAAAACCCACCUGCCAGACGACAUGCACUUGAGAACACACCCUUUAGCGCUUUCUGCUGUCAGUUACAUGGCUCAUUCUCCUUUGACAGACAGAAUAGAGGAAUUCACUGGAAAGGAGAACCACUUCACAGCAACGUUUUACAAGAAGCCUGAUGGUGGGAUGGAGCCCGUCAUUCAUAUUAAUGAGACAUGCAUGGAAGUGGCAAUGAGCAUGUGGAGUGUGGCUAAAAGAAAUGUGGUUCUUCACUUGGAGCUGAUGUGAAACACAGGCAAUCUGUUGGCCUACUGAGAGGAACUUCUUUUAAAAGCCAAGAACAAGAAUACCACCCGAAGACAUCUGUUCCUCUCAUCCUUUAGUGAAGUGCAGAUGGAGAUUCCUAUGUGGUUUUG
This 576-nucleotide long non-coding RNA is filed under the name Pan troglodytes (chimpanzee). RNAcentral's name for it is "lincRNA". The record is from RNAcentral. Lineage: Eukaryota; Metazoa; Chordata; Mammalia; Primates; Hominidae.